This 213-nucleotide unclassified non-coding RNA is filed under the name Lasiodiplodia jatrophicola. Its description in RNAcentral is "partial internal transcribed spacer region". The stretch from base 1 to 46 matches the Rfam family "Eukaryotic small subunit ribosomal RNA", at positions 1786 to 1831 of the family's 1831-position model. The record is from RNAcentral. Lineage: Eukaryota; Fungi; Ascomycota; Dothideomycetes; Botryosphaeriales; Botryosphaeriaceae.
AAGUCGUAACAAGGUUUCCGUAGGUGAACCUGCGGAAGGAUCAUUACCGAGUUUUCGGGCUUCGGCUCGACUCUCCCCACCCUUUGUGAACGUACCUCUGUUGCUUUGGCGGCUCCGGCCGCCAAAGGACCUCCAAACUCCAGUCAGUAAACGCAGACGUCUGAUAAACAAGUUAAUAAACUAAAACUUUCAACAACGGAUCUCUUGGUUCUG